This 1153-nucleotide ribosomal RNA is filed under the name Kumanoa gracillima. RNAcentral's name for it is "eukaryotic LSU rRNA". It matches the Rfam family "Eukaryotic large subunit ribosomal RNA", at positions 36 to 1265 of the family's 3401-position model. The record is from RNAcentral. Lineage: Eukaryota; Rhodophyta; Florideophyceae; Batrachospermales; Batrachospermaceae.
AAGCAUAUAACUAAGCGGAGGAAAAGAAACUAACAAGGAUUCCCUCAGUAGCGGCGAGCGAAGCGGGAACAGCCCAAGAUGAAAAUCCCUCCGGGGAGUUGUAGUCUGAGCGGCCUUGGGCGGUCAGUGUGGGUAAGUCGUCUGGAAUGACGUACCGCGGAGGGUGAGAGUCCCGUCCAGCCCACACAGGACCUGCCCGCACGAGGUCGCUUCAACCGAGUCGGGUAGCUUGGGAAUGCUGCUCUAAAUGGUGGUAAAUCUCAUCAAAGGCUAAAUAUCGGUGGGAGACCGAUAGCGAACAAGUACCGUGAGGGAAAGAUGGAAAGAACUUUGAAAAGAGAGUGAAAAGCGCUUGAAACCGUCACGAGGGAAGCGCAUUGCGUCAGUGGUGGCGCGCGCGGUUCAGCCCGGCCUCGCGCCGGGUGUACUCUGCGCGCGUCGUGCGUGUGUGGCCGGGCGGCGUGCGAAAAGCAUUUUGUUUGGCACGGCGCCUGGUGAGGGCUCCCCCGCACGGGGUGAGGACACACGCAAAAGGACGCGAUACGACCCGUCUUGAAACACGGACCAAGGAGUCUAGCACGGCUGCGAGUCGAAGGGUGAUUUUCAAACAAACCCAGCGGGCGCAGUGAAAGCAAAAGAAAGCACAUUGGGGAGGCGUUGCGGUGUCACCAAAAUGUCCUACCUCGAGCAGCUGUGCUGGGACCCGAAAGAUGGUGAACUAUGCCGGAGUAGGGCAAAGCCAGAGGAAACUCUGGUGGAGGCUCGUAGCGAUGCUGACGUGCAAAUCGCUCGUCGAACUUGGGUAUAGGGGCGAAAGACUAAUCGAACCAUCUAGUAGCUGGUUCCCUCCGAAGUUUCUCUCAGGAUAGCGGGCCGACUUUUACAUGUUGUUCUGUGCGGUAAAGCGAAUGAUUAGUGCAUUUGGGGGCCGAAGGCCUUCGGGCGAUUCUCAAACUUUAAAUGCGCAGGGGGGCGGCUGCUUGAAUGAGCCCGCUCUUGUAAAAACGUCGGCUCCGUGGGCCACUUUUGGUAAGCAGAACUGGCGAUAAGGGAUGAACCUUAAGCGCGGUUAAGGCGCCGCAUUGCCCGCUUAUAGACCCCACAAAAGGUGUUGAUUCAUCCAGACAGCAGGACGGUGGCCAUGGAAGUCGGA